This 64-nucleotide transfer RNA is filed under the name Planorbella duryi. RNAcentral's name for it is "tRNA-Thr". It matches the Rfam family "tRNA". Rfam says of the family: Transfer RNA (tRNA) molecules are approximately 80 nucleotides in length. Their secondary structure includes four short double-helical elements and three loops (D, anti-codon, and T loops). RNAcentral also lists the same sequence under 1 other name. Lineage: Eukaryota; Metazoa; Mollusca; Gastropoda; Planorbidae. The record is from RNAcentral.
UUCAAAAUAGCUUAAUUUUAAAGCACUGAUUUUGUAAAUCAUAGAUAGUUCUUUCUUUUUGAAA